GCUCCUACGGGGCGCAGCAGUGGGGGAUAUUGCACAAUGGGGGGAACCCUGAUGCAGCGACGCCGCGUGGGUGAAGAAGCGCCUCGGCGCGUAAAGCCCUGUCAGCAGGGAAGAAAAUGACGGUACCUGAAGAAGAAGCCCCGGCUAACUACGUGCCAGCAGCCGCGGUAGUACGUAGGGGGCAAGCGUUAUCCAGAUUUACUGGGUGUAAAGGGAGCGUAGACGGCUGUGCAAGUCUGAAGUGAAAUGCCGGGGCCCAACCCCGGAACUGCUUUGGAAACUGUACAGCUAGAGUGCAGGAGGGG
This 305-nucleotide ribosomal RNA is filed under the name uncultured bacterium. Its description in RNAcentral is "bacterial SSU rRNA". It matches the Rfam family "Bacterial small subunit ribosomal RNA", at positions 335 to 657 of the family's 1533-position model. The record is from RNAcentral.